GAUGAACGCUAGCUACAGGCUUAACACAUGCAAGUCGAGGGGCAGCAUUUCAGUUUGCUUGCAAACUGGAGAUGGCGACCGGCGCACGGGUGAGUAACACGUAUCCAACCUGCCGAUAACUCGGGGAUAGCCUUUCGAAAGAAAGAUUAAUACCCGAUGGUAUAAUCAGACCGCAUGGUCUUGUUAUUAAAGAAUUUCGGUUAUCGAUGGGGAUGCGUUCCAUUAGGCAGUUGGUGAGGUAACGGCUCACCAAACCUUCGAUGGAUAGGGGUUCUGAGAGGAAGGUCCCCCACAUUGGAACUGAGACACGGUCCAAACUCCUACGGGAGGCAGCAGUGAGGAAUAUUGGUCAAUGGGCGCAGGCCUGAACCAGCCAAGUAGCGUGAAGGAUGACUGCCCUAUGGGUUGUAAACUUCUUUUAUAUGGGAAUAAAGUUUUCCACGUGUGGAAUUUUGUAUGUACCAUA
Molecule: ribosomal RNA, 466 nt
Filed under: uncultured bacterium
Lineage: Bacteria
Description: bacterial SSU rRNA
Rfam family: Bacterial small subunit ribosomal RNA
Source: RNAcentral